RNAcentral lists this unclassified non-coding RNA (739 nucleotides) under Hevea brasiliensis (rubber tree). Lineage: Eukaryota; Viridiplantae; Streptophyta; Magnoliopsida; Malpighiales; Euphorbiaceae. The record is from RNAcentral.
AAUAGAGAAAUAUCAUUCAAGAAGAUGAAAAAACCUCAGAAAUAUCACUCAAACCAUUGUUAAUAUUUACAUCUACUAUAUUAAUUGAGGUAAGUACAGAUUAGGUGUUAAAGUAGAAAAAUUAUCUUGCUUCCACCACUGUAACUGAUGCAUUGUUGUUGGAGAACUUAUCCGAAUUGUUUUUGGGUACCUCUGGCUCUUCCUCAAAUCUGUGAAGAAAAAAUGCCGGUUGUUUGGGUGCAGGUAGAUCUAAAGUUUCAUUUGUUAGCAUAGAAACAAUAUCUGACAUGGUGGGUCUAUUUGUUGCCUGGUCUUGUACGCACAGGAGUCCGAUAUGAAUGCAUCUUAGAACUUCAUUAUGAGGGCAUGAUUCAUCCAAAGUUGGAUCCAUCAACUCUAAGCCUCUGUGUUCAAUCCAUAGCUCCCAUGCAAGUCCUAUAAGGUUUAGUGGAUAUUCAGAACCAUAGUUGCUGUUAUUUUUCUUGCUGCUCGCUAUCUCAAGUAGGAGGACCCCAAAGCUAAACACAUCUAUUUUAAUUGAAACAAUGCCUUUCAAAGCAUAUUCCGGAGCCAUAUAGCCACUGAAGUCAAGUUCAUUAAAACUCUUAGCAUUUCAAGACACAGAACAUAUUUUUAUAUGAUUGAUUGUGGAGCUGAUUGUACUCACUGUGUUCCAACGACUCUUCUUGUUUCUGCUUCUGAUUCAUUCCUCCCAAAUAUUCUAGCCAUGCCAAAAUCU